GAUCAUGGCUCAGGAUGAACGCUGGCGGCGUGCUUAACACAUGCAAGUCGAACGAAGCACUUAAGAUUGACUCUUCGGAUGACGUCUUUUGUGACUUAGUGGCGGACGGGUGAGUAACGCGUGGGUAACCUGCCUCACACAGGGGGGAUAACAGUUAGAAAUGACUGCUAAUACCGCAUAACCCGAUAGGAUCGCAUGAUCCAGACGGAAAAGAUUUAUCGGUGUGAGAUGACCCG
This 236-nucleotide ribosomal RNA is filed under the name uncultured bacterium. Its description in RNAcentral is "partial 16S ribosomal RNA". It matches the Rfam family "Bacterial small subunit ribosomal RNA", at positions 15 to 233 of the family's 1533-position model. The record is from RNAcentral.